CCAUGAUCCACGUAAACAAAAAUGCCUUCCAAAAAUUUGUUGAUCAAGAUAUUGGUCACUAAUUCCUUCCAAAAUGUCAUAAGCGAAUCAAAAAAUGCGAUCAAUGGAAACAGAUUAUCUAAUUGCUUCGGCUAAAUGGAACCACUUAAUCAGAACCCUAGUGACAUGAUUAAGCAAGUGGUAAACGUAAUUAAGUACGCAACUAAUUCAAGGAAGCAUGCAUCAAUUGCGUCUUCCUCGCUAUUGCUCUGACUGGCCGCCUGGCCGGACAGCUGGUCAUCGGCGUGGCUGCGCACGUUGGCCAUGAGCUUCUCGAGCACCAUGGCAGCUCCGCCUCCACGUCGGCCUCCCACCAGAACUGCAUGUUGGCCUUCGCAUCUAUGAUCUUCUUCGCCACCUCGCGCAACCACGACUUCUCCGCGGCGACUUGCGACCUGGUGUCCUCCGCCGCCCUUCUUAACUCCUCGUGGUGGUGUUGGUCGUCGC
Molecule: long non-coding RNA, 486 nt
Filed under: Oryza brachyantha (malo sina)
Lineage: Eukaryota; Viridiplantae; Streptophyta; Magnoliopsida; Poales; Poaceae
Description: long non-coding RNA (OBRA_LNC002860)
Source: RNAcentral